GACGAACGCUGGCGGCGUGCUUAACACAUGCAAGUCGAGCGGUAAGGCCCUUUCGGGGGUACACGAGCGGCGAACGGGUGAGUAACACGUGGGUGACCUGCCCUCAGCUCUGGGAUAAGCCUGGGAAACCGGGUCUAAUACUGGAUAUGACUCCAUGACGCAUGUUGUGGGGUGGAAAGCCUUGUGCGGCUGAGGAUGGGGCCCGCGGCCUAUCAGCUUGUUGGUGGGGGAUGGCCUACCAAGGCGACGACGGGUAGCCGGCCUGAGAGGGCGACCGGCCACACUGGGACUGAGACACGGGCCCAGACUCCUACGGGAGGCAGCAGUGGGGAAUCUUGCGCAAUGGGCGAAAGCCUGACGCAGCGACGCCGCGUGAGGGAUGACGGCCUGGUGUAAC
This 397-nucleotide ribosomal RNA is filed under the name uncultured bacterium. RNAcentral's name for it is "bacterial SSU rRNA". It matches the Rfam family "Bacterial small subunit ribosomal RNA", at positions 28 to 429 of the family's 1533-position model. The record is from RNAcentral.